Mytilus trossulus (common blue mussel) is the source of this 1962-nucleotide long non-coding RNA. RefSeq lists it as uncharacterized. NCBI's taxonomy places the organism in Eukaryota, Metazoa, Mollusca, Bivalvia, Mytilida, Mytilidae. The transcript is spliced from 2 exons. The record is from RefSeq and is a predicted model, not a curated record.
AAUGCAUUUGAAUGGGAGCAUAUAGUUGGACCCCCCCUUUUAAUCUGGGUUGGGAACCCCCCUUUUUUGGGGCCUAUCAAUGCAUUUGAAUGGGAGCAUAUAGUUUGACUCCCCCACCCCUCCCCCCUUUACUCUGGGUUGGGAACCCCCCUUUUUAAAAUGGCUGGAUCCUCCCCUGGAGCUUGUCACUUUCACUCAAAAAACAUUAAAGAAACCAUCAAAUUCCUAAGCUUAGGUAGGAGCUUCAAAUUGUUAUAAAAAUUACUUAAUUAUCAUUAUCUUGUGUAUUUUAGCCACCUUCUGCUUAAAAAAAAAUACAUUUAGAUAAUUUAUCACUUAAAGAGGCAUUUGCAAUGAUUUAGAUAAACAAUAACAGCACUUUGUUUUUUUUAUAAAUAUUAAUAAAAGUGGAAUAAUGAAGAAAUGACUUGUAAUUAUUAACAGUCAUUUUUAUAGUUAAAUUGGUAAAAAUGAUCUGAAAAGCAUUGCUGAUUUCAUUUUUUUUUCCAAAACCACAAUUCAACCUCAUUUUGGUCUGUAUGCAUACAACAUUUAAUAAGAACCAUUGUAGUAGAUGGUUGCUCAGCUUGGUCAGAUAAUAAAAAGAACAGAAUUUCAAAAUAAAACGGUUUUGCCAACAAAAAAUAUUAUUUCAGUGGUAAAACUCAAAUGUUUUUGCUUCUAUUUUUUACUCACUUGAGUGCAAUUAUUUGCAAAGUACAAAUCUUAUACAAAAGAAUUAUGUCUGAGACAACAACCCAACCAAAGAGCAAAAAACAGCCGAAUCAACUAAUGACUCUUCAACUCAGCAAGAAAAUCCAGCAUCUGGAGGCAGGCUUCAGCUGACCCCUACACAAAAAUGUUCACUAGGUCAGUGAAAGUGGAUGUCAUACUAAACUCAAACAUAUAUUAAAAUGAACUGAAAUUAAAAAACCUACGAGACUAACAAGGUCCAGAGGCUUCUAACAAGGGACAGGUGCAAAAAUGCAGUGGGUUAAACAUGUUUUGAGAGAUCUCAACCCACACUUAUACCUCUAUGAGCCAAUGUAGAAAAAACAAACACAGCAAUUUGCACCGUAAAACUCAUUAAAAAGAAGUCUGUGUCCAACUUCAGAAAAGGUAACAAAAGAAACAGACUAAUAAUUUGUGUAUUUUUACAACAUUUACAAAGCUAAAUUUUGUGGGAAAAUAAAGUAAAAGUUAAAUUAAAAAAGAAAUAUUUAAUUUUGAAAUUUACUUCAAAAGAAAGAAAAUAAAGUUUAAUUGAUUUUAUUCUUAUAUGUGUAAUGUUGUAUAUGUAUUUAUAUUUCAUUUCAGAGUUCAACAACAGAUUAUUAAUUCUAUAAUUUUGAUUUUUGCAGAUUGCAGCAGUGGGAUGUUACAGUCAUAGACGUUGGAUAGACUCCGUUGUACUAGGCCAGGGAGGGUAGCGCAGAGUUUCCGCAGCACUAUACAAUAGUAGCAAGAUCACUCUACCAUGAGCUUGUUAAAGCGCCCGUUUGAUGAAAGUGACACCAACGUUCUCCACAACACUACAGAUUUGUUUUUGCAGAUGCAGCCGAGAGGAUGUUUCAGUCAUGGACUCAUUUGAUGGAAGUGGCACCAACAUUCUCAAACACUAAUAAUUUACAAAUUUGUUUUUGUUGUAGAUGCAACCUCAGUCAUACACCCUAGAGUUUGGCUAUGUUGUGACAGAAGAAGAGUGGCAUAUAGACUUCUGUAUGUCCAUUUUUAUGGAAGUGACAAAUUACUAAUCUUUCUUCUUAUAUCCAUUUCAGAGUUCUUACAAAGAUGCAUAGAGUUCUUACGAAGAUGUAUAGGUAUGCAGUAUUUAUUAUUUUUGUCUCUGUGUAUUUUUGUCAAUGAGGUAAAACCACAGAACAAAUCAAUCAGAAGUAUUAACUGGUGUAAUUUGAGAACACCCUGGAACACGAGAAAUAUCCUACCUCACAAAAUUUAACA